RNAcentral lists this long non-coding RNA (471 nucleotides) under Pan troglodytes (chimpanzee). RNAcentral's name for it is "long non-coding RNA NONPTRT016259". Lineage: Eukaryota; Metazoa; Chordata; Mammalia; Primates; Hominidae. The record is from RNAcentral.
UGACACACACAUGCAUAAAGUAACUAAUUCAAAACAAAUGGGUUCACUCUGUCACUCAGGCUAGAGUGCAGUGGUGCAAUCUUGCUCACUGUAGCCUCAACCUCUUAGGUUCAAGUGAUCCUCCCACCUCAGACUCCCAUCACUGAAAUUACAGACAUGAUGUGCCACCAUUCUCAGCUAAGUUUUAUUUUUACUUUUUUGUAAAUAUGGGGUCUCACUAUAUUGCCUAGGCUGGUCUCAAACUCCUGGGCUCAAGCAAUCCUCCCAAAUCAUCUACAAAAUCCAAGAUUUGUACAGCUUUGAUAAAAAACUAGUUUCAAAGGCCAAGAACUUGAUGGAGAGAGCAAGCAGAAUGGCUUACGAACAAUUGUCUUUUAUCUGGAAGAUUCGGUAAAUGAAAAGAGAAUACAUUUCCUUCCUAGAGAAAUCAAGCUGCAAAUAAACAGAAUGAGCUUAUAUCCUAAAUUCCGA